CAGUCCGGGAUCGUGGGAGGCAUUGGGGGCUGCAUCAAGAAACCCAAAGGCUUCGGAGUGCAGAGGGCUGAGGCCGUCAGGAUUUGAUCAUCCCUGGAGAGCCGCCCUGGGAGCCUGGGAAUGACCCUGGAACAAUCGAUAAUUGAUAAUCAAUGAUUGGUAAUCAAUAAUCAAUUAUCAAUAAUCAAUAAACCCUUCAGCAAAGCAA
Non-coding RNA from Zonotrichia albicollis (white-throated sparrow), 208 nucleotides. The record is from RefSeq and is a predicted model, not a curated record. Lineage: Eukaryota; Metazoa; Chordata; Aves; Passeriformes; Passerellidae.